Molecule: ribosomal RNA, 405 nt
Filed under: uncultured bacterium
Lineage: Bacteria
Description: partial 16S ribosomal RNA
Rfam family: Bacterial small subunit ribosomal RNA
Source: RNAcentral
GAUGAACGCUGACGGAAUGCUUAACACAUCAGCCAUUGAUUGGUGGUGGACGGGUGAGUAACGCGUAAAGAACUUACCUCACCGUAGGGACAACAUUUGGAAACGACUGCUAAUCCCUAAUCCUGUGAGAGAACUUUGCGUCCCAUUAGCUAGUUGGAGAGGUAACGGCCCACCAAGGCGAGGAUGGGUAGCCGGCCUGAGAUGGUGAUCGGGCAAAAGCGGCCUGAGACACGGCCCUUACUACUACGGGAGGCAGGAGUGGGGAAUAUGCGACAAUGGACCAAAGUCUGAACCAGCAAUGCUGUGUGCACGAUGAAGUUGUCGGAAUGUAAAGUGCUUUCAGUUGGGAAGCGGUACCAACAGAAGAAGUGACGGCUAACUACGUGCCAGCAGCCGCGGUAAUUC